This 1355-nucleotide ribosomal RNA is filed under the name Upogebia major. RNAcentral's name for it is "16S ribosomal RNA". The stretch from base 643 to 1355 matches the Rfam family "Archaeal large subunit ribosomal RNA", at positions 1423 to 2825 of the family's 2987-position model. Lineage: Eukaryota; Metazoa; Arthropoda; Malacostraca; Decapoda; Upogebiidae. The record is from RNAcentral.
UUAUUAUAGAUAGCUAUAAUUAUUAUGUUGUAAGGAUUAGGAAGUAAAAAGAAAAAUAUUUUUUAAAUAAAGAAUAAAUAGUAUAUUUAAUUGAAUAUUAUUGAUUUGGCAAUAGUGUAAUAGUACCGAAAGGGAAGUUUGAAAAUAAAUAUUUUAUUGAAUAUAAUUUUAAGUAAAUUUUAAAAUUUGUACCUUGUGUAUCAGGGAAAACUAAAAUUAAUAAUAUAUUUAUUUAAGUCUCGGUAAAAAAGUGUCUAAUUAUAAUUUGUUAUUUUAUGUGUAAAAAUGAUAUUAAAAAUAUAAUUAGUGGUGAAAUGUUGGUCGAAUUUUUAUAUCUAGUUGUUUUUGAAAUAAAUUUAAUUUAGUUUAUUUUUUUUAUAAAAAAUAAGUAAAGUGUAGGAGGGAAGAGCUUCUUAUACAAAAAUAUAAAAAUAGAAGAAAAAAAUAAUUAAAUUAUAGGUAGGCUUAGAGGUAGUCAUCUUUGUAAAGUGUUUUAACUAAUAGUUUAAGGUAAAAGUUAAAAUAUUCUCUAUUUUAGUAAAAAGCUUGAAUAGUAAAUGUGUAUUUAUUUUGUAAUAUUGGUUUUAUUAGUAAUAUUUUGUUAUUGGAAAAUAAUUAAUAAUUAAAUAUUUAUUAAUUUUUAAUUAAAGUUUGUUCUUAUUAAGGAACUCGGCAAAUAAGAUUUCUGCCUGUUUAUCAAAAACAUGUCCUGUUGAAGUUUUAAUAGGUCUGGCCUGCCCACUGAGAUUUAAAGGGCCGCGGUAUCUUGACCGUGCGAAGGUAGCAUAAUCAUUAGUUUUUUAAUUGAAGGCUUGUAUGAAUGGUCGGACAAGAAAUAAGCUGUCUCUGUAAGAAUUAUUGAAUUUAACAUUUAAGUAAAAAGGCUUAAAUAGAUUAAGGGGACGAUAAGACCCUAUAAAGCUUUAUAGUUUCUUUAUUUUUAUUAAAAAAAGGUUGUGAAAAUUAAUUUAUUGGGGAAAUUAUUAUGUUGGGGCGACAAAAGUAAAAUUAAUAUCUGCUUUAUUUUUAUAACAAAUAGUUUUUGUAUAGGUAAUUGAUCCUAAGUAUAGAUUAUAAGUUUAAGUUACUUUAGGGAUAACAGCGUAAUUUUUUUUGAGAGCCCUUAUCGAGAAAAAAGUUUGCGACCUCGAUGUUGAAUUAAGUUGUCUACUUUAUGUGCAGCAGCUAAGAUAGAUGGUCUGUUCGACCUUUAAAAACUUACAUGAUUUGAGUUCAAACCGGCGUGAGCCAGGUUGGUUUCUAUCUUUUAGUUAAGAGAUACUUUUUUAGUACGAAAGGAUUAAGAAGUUUAAAUAUUUUAUAAAUUAUAAAUAUAAUAAAAGGUUUAUGAAAUU